UACGGAGGGGACUAGCGUUGUUCGGAAUUACUGGGCGUAAAGCGCACGUAGGCGGAUUUGUAAGUCAGGGGUGAAAUCCCGGGGCUCAACCUCGGAACUGCCUUUGAUACUGCAAAUCUCGAGUCCGGAAGAGGUGAGUGGAAUUCCUAGUGUAGAGGUGAAAUUCGUAGAUAUUAGGAAGAACACCAGUGGCGAAGGCGGCUCACUGGUCCGGUGCUGACGCUGAGGUGCGAAAGCGUGGGGAGCAAACAGG
RNAcentral lists this ribosomal RNA (253 nucleotides) under uncultured bacterium. RNAcentral's name for it is "partial 16S ribosomal RNA". It matches the Rfam family "Bacterial small subunit ribosomal RNA", at positions 524 to 776 of the family's 1533-position model. The record is from RNAcentral.